Molecule: non-coding RNA, 155 nt
Filed under: Lactobacillus crispatus
Lineage: Bacteria; Bacillati; Bacillota; Bacilli; Lactobacillales; Lactobacillaceae
Source: RNAcentral
ACGGUGACGUUAUGAGUGAAGAAAGUGGCUAGCGAGUUUUCCGAGCCUACGUAUAGAAACCUGGUCAGGCCAAAUGGCGAAUAAGACUGCCAUUCAAGUCGAAGUCCCAAAGACAAACGUAAAGCCAAGACGGUAAACCAGGAGGCAGUGGAAAG